Molecule: ribosomal RNA, 309 nt
Filed under: uncultured eukaryote
Lineage: Eukaryota
Description: partial 18S ribosomal RNA
Rfam family: Eukaryotic small subunit ribosomal RNA
Source: RNAcentral
CCCUUAGAUGUCCUGGGCCGCACGCGCGCUACACUGACAUGUUCAACAAGCCUCCUAGUUCGACAGGAUUUGGGAAAUCUUUGAACGCAUGUCGUGAUAGGGAUAGAUCAUUGCAAUUAUUGAUCUUGAACGAGGAAUUCCUAGUAAACGCGAGUCAUCAGCUCGCAUUGAUUACGUCCCUGCCCUUUGUACACACCGCCCGUCGCUCCUACCGAUUUUGAGUGGUCCGGUGAACCUUCUGGAUUGUGCGGCUUGCCGCGCGAGAAGUUAUGUAAACCUUAUCACUUAGAGGAAGGAGAAGUCGUAACA